This 252-nucleotide ribosomal RNA is filed under the name uncultured bacterium. RNAcentral describes it as "partial 16S ribosomal RNA". It matches the Rfam family "Bacterial small subunit ribosomal RNA", at positions 524 to 776 of the family's 1533-position model. The record is from RNAcentral.
UACGUAGGGGGCAAGCGUUGUCCGGAAUUAUUGGGCGUAAAGCGCGCGCAGGCGGCGAUUUAAGUUUGGUGUUUAAGCCCGGGGCUCAACCUCGGUUCGCACUGAAAACUGGAUCGCUUGAGUGCAGGAGAGGGAAGCGGAAUUCCACGUGUAGCGGUGAAAUGCGUAGAGAUGUGGAGGAACACCAGUGGCGAAGGCGGCUUCCUGGCCUGUAACUGACGCUGAGGCGCGAAAGCGUGGGGAGCAAACAGG